Molecule: ribosomal RNA, 499 nt
Filed under: uncultured bacterium
Lineage: Bacteria
Description: bacterial SSU rRNA
Rfam family: Bacterial small subunit ribosomal RNA
Source: RNAcentral
UAGUCCACGCCGUAAACGAUGAAUACUCGGUGCUCCUGAUUUAUUGGGAGUGCCCUAGCAAACGCGUUAAGUAUUCCACCUGGGGAGUACGCUCGCAAGAAUGAAACUCAAAGGAAUUGACGGGGGCCCGCACAAGCGGUGGAGCAUGUGGUUUAAUUCGAUGAUACGCGAGGAACCUUACCAGGGCUUAAAUGCAGUAUGACAGAUUUGGAAACAGAUUUUUCUUCGGACAUAUUGCAAGGUGCUGCAUGGUUGUCGUCAGCUCGUGCCGUGAGGUGUCAGGUUAAGUCCUAUAACGAGCGCAACCCCUAUUGCUAGUUGCCAGCGGAUAAUGCCGGGGACUCUAGUGAGACUGCCGGUGCAAACCGUGAGGAAGGUGGGGAUGACGUCAAAUCAUCACGGCCCUUACGUCCUGGGCCACACACGUGCUACAAUGGUAGGGACAGAGAGCAGCCACUUCGCGAGAAGGAGCGAAUCUAUAAACCCUAUCACAGUUCGG